This 1088-nucleotide long non-coding RNA is filed under the name Mustela putorius furo (domestic ferret). RNAcentral's name for it is "lncRNA (ENSMPUG00000031024.1)". The record is from RNAcentral. Lineage: Eukaryota; Metazoa; Chordata; Mammalia; Carnivora; Mustelidae.
ACAUCAAUUCAAUAGAAUGAACUAACUCUCAACAGGAAGCCUGGAUAUCAGCUUCCAUCAUCAGGACUAUCACAAUGACCUUGGAUGUGACAGCUUGUGAAAACAAGAGACUCACUCAAAUGGAGUAAUAAACUCACUGACAAGACUGCAAUUCAAAUUUCACUAACAAAUGGAAAUUCUUCCACAGCAAAAGAUUGCUUUCUUUCUGCUGCUUCCAGUCGACGACAAGAGAAGAAUUAGGCACAAACAAGUCAGCUGCAAAAGACUGGGAGCAGGGGACAACAGUCGAAAAGGACUGCUGCCACGAGCAACUCCACAGUCUCACUUUUAUUGGAUAGAAAACAAUAGCCAACAGAAGGAUUGAUGAAGGUCAAACAUUAAUCCUGUCUUGUUGACCAGCAAGAAGGAGGAUAAAGUUUAUAGUUAACUAAGCACAUUCAAAGGACUCAUCUAACUAACAACGAGCACUUCUGGGAAGAGAAAGGAGUGAUAAUGAAAAAGGGAAGCAGGCGGUUUUCGUUCCACCCUGAGCUGACUGGGCGUUCCCGGGUGCUCGGCUUCCCUGAAGCAGGCGGCGUUCCACCCUGAGAGAGCCAGGCAUCCCCAGCUGCUCAGCUUCUGUGAAGGGGCGACAUUCCGCCCUGAGUGAGCCGGGCAUCCCCAGCUGCCCAGCUUCAUGGUCGUACAUUGUCCUUCUCCCCAAAGACCUGUUGUCAGUAUAUGUAUUUCUUAAGGCCAUAUCUAAAUGUGCUUGGCAACUAGUAAAAUCCUCCAGGGGUUACAGUUUAAGUAACAAAUUAUUCUGAGGGGCAGCAGCACUUUCAAUUAGCAAUGUGUGUUUUAGGCUCCUCCUUGUCUUCUAGUGGCAUGAUAGCUCAUUUCAUUUUUUCAUGGAAUAAUAUUGCACUGUCUAGAUGCACCACAGUUUAUUUAUCCAUUAUUUCACUAAAAAAAGAUAAUCUUGUUUGCUUCUAAGUUUUGGCAGUUAUUAAUAAAGCUUCUGUAAAAAUCCCUGUGCAGCCUUUUGUGUGUACAUAAGUGGAUACAUUAAAUCAUGUAAGAGUAUGUUUAGCUUUGUAAGAAACCAC